This 492-nucleotide ribosomal RNA is filed under the name uncultured bacterium. RNAcentral describes it as "partial 16S ribosomal RNA". It matches the Rfam family "Bacterial small subunit ribosomal RNA", at positions 29 to 507 of the family's 1533-position model. The record is from RNAcentral.
AGUGAACGCUGGCGGUAGGCCUAACACAUGCAAGUCGAACGGCAGCACAGUAAGAGCUUGCUCUUACGGGUGGCGAGUGGCGGACGGGUGAGGAAUACAUCGGAAUCUACUUUUUCGUGGGGGAUAACGUAGGGAAACUUGCGCUAAUACCGCAUACGACCUACGGGUGAAAGCAGGGGAUCUUCGGACCUUGCGCGAUUGAAUGAGCCGAUGUCGGAUUAGCUAGUUGGCGGGGUAAAGGCCCACCAAGGCGACGAUCCGUAGCUGGUCUGAGAGGAUGAUCAGCCACACUGGAACUGAGACACGGUCCAGACUCCUACGGGAGGCAGCAGUGGGGAAUAUUGGACAAUGGGCGCAAGCCUGAUCCAGCCAUACCGCGUGGGUGAAGAAGGCCUUCGGGUUGUAAAGCCCUUUUGUUGGGAAAGAAAAGCAGCAGGUUAACACCCCGCUGUUCUGACGGUACCCAAAGAAUAAGCACCGGCUAACUUCGUG